AUGCGUAGGAGCAGGGAGGAGGAUAUCAUGCCGAGGGAGGUCAGUGAGAGGAGGAGGAGGAGGAGGGAACACAUGGCCACCGCAAGAGAUGAUUGCGGGGCAUCGCUUCCGUACGAGAUGAUCAUAGAGGUUCUGCAGUGGCUCCCAGUCAAAUCCGUCUUCCGCUUCAAGGCAGUGUGCCGCUCCUGGGCUGCGCUGCUCUCCUCCAAUGAAUUCCGCCGACUCCACAUGUCAGCAGCCAAGGCCGCAAAGCGGCGGACACCACCAGCCAAGCUGCUAUACAUCUCACCGACCGCCACAUUCGACUCCACCACGGUCUACUCGUGCCCCUUCUCGCCAUCAUCAUCAUCGUGCCGCCCCAGAGAUCACGGGGACCUACUGUUCACCAUCGACGGUGCCCGUGGAAACUAUGUGGAGAUAGUGACGCCCGCGCCGUGCAAUGGCCUCACCCUUCUCUAUGAUGCUCUCGACACAGCCUACUACAUCUGCAAUGCAGCCACACGUCUGCCGCCUUCUACCAGCGUAGUAUGCAGCUCCAGUGCUGGCCUGGGAUUUGAUGCCCUCACAGACGAGCACAAGGUGGUGAGGUUGAUGAAUGGGAUGUUUUAUCAAAAGGACUUGGACUCUGUGAGGUGUGAGGUGUACACGACUGGAGGCCCCUUCAUGGAUCGCUGCUGGAGGCCGGCUGCCAGAGGAGUACCCUCCAGCUUGCAUAAAUUUGCACGCGCCGCUGUUCGUAAUGCGUCAGUCAACUAUCUCCCGUGUUUGCCAACGGUUGCUUGCACUGAUGAGACCUUCACAUGUCUCCGGUCACCACCCUUCUGGGUACCAGGAACGCCGCCGACCUCCAGGUGUUCCUCAUCAGGAGAGCAACUAGUGGAGAUCGAUGACCAAUUAUGUUUGGUUCGCAACAGAAUUCCUCAUGGUAGUAACACUUUGGAGAUCUGGAAGCUGCUGGACUAUAGCUCUGGUGACUGGUUACUGGAUCAUCGAAUUAAUUUGUCGGGGCACCUGGCAACAAAUUUGCGCCAGUCACAAAUUCUGAGAGUUAUUGGAUCUUUUUGCAGUUACAGGUCGCCAAGGAAGAAAAUAAUCAUCACCACUAGCACACACAAGAUUUUUGAUAAGUAUCAGAAAAUGGUUCACACCUAUGACCCCAGGUCUGAGGCUCUGGAAACCAUUCUUUCGAUCACAGAGACACACUCAACUCCACAAUAUGGGUGCCCUAGUUCAAGAUUCAGUUUCGUUCAAGAGACCCUUGCUCCCGUGCAUACAACAGAUGAGGAGAUAGCCUUGUCAUCUGACCUGGCUAAGGCGACUAGAGAGGUCCUACUCCGCCUCCCAGCUAAAUCAGCCAUACAGUCCAAAUUUGUCUGCAAACAGUGGUUCAGAUUGAUUGAGAGUAAAAACUUCAUUCAGUCAUACUUUCAGCAUAAGAACAUAGACAGAAGACCUAAAGUCAUGCUUGUGGUCAAGAGCACUGGACGAUUGGGCUUCAGUUUUGCUCCAUUGAAUAAAUGCCUCCAAGAAGCUCCUAGUCACAGUACAUUGCUUGAUACAAAGGUGGUUUGCUCCAAGCCUUGUCAUGGGCUAAACUUGGUAAGCACCGAGACGAAGGACUAUCUCUGCAAUCCAUGUACAGGUUUCUACAGGGGCUACUCUAACCUGGGGCCAGAUUUGCACCGACCCUCGAGAAUGCCUAAAGCAGAAGAUCAUGCUUUUACAGUCGGCAAUAAAAAUGUUGGCUUGACUUUUGACCCUACGACUCGUCAACAUGUUAUCGUGGAAAUAUUCUAUCAUUGGAAGGACUUUAAAUCUCGUCAGUAUGACCUGACAUGUGCGUUACACUGGUGUAACUCUUGGAGUGCUGCCCAAGAGAACUCGGUACCGCCUCUGCCUGUGAAUGAUAUGCCACCAGCCUAUGUUGAAGGAAUUCUCUACUGGAUGAAUGAACCAAGGUUGGGACAGAGCUGUGAAUGGGCCAUUGUAUCUUUCAACCUUGCUACAAAUACUUUUGAUGUUGUCUCAUGCCCUUCGUGGUUUGCAAGAUGGAAUAGCAGAAACCGGUGUCAUGCGUUUGUUGUUGAGCUCGAGGGAGUAUUAUGUGCUGUUCUAGCAGAUCCAGCCGCAGACAAAUUAGAUGUAUGGAAGCUAGAGCAUGGCCAAUGGGGCAGAUCAUACACAAUUCACCUGGAAGCAUGUCCUGGCUAUUCCCUCAAGACAAGCGUUGUUGUGCCAUUAGCUGUUGACCCUGAUCAUGGGAGGAUCCUGCUCAACACUGGUAGGAAAAUAGGUCUAUAUGAUCCAGUAGAGCAAACAAUUCAAAAUCUGUAUUCACUUGAUCAGGUGCCGGCUUCCAGAAGUAAUCCACACCUGAAGUUUCUUGAUAUGCCUUCAACUUCAUCCAGGAAUAGUUCGACGAUUCCUUUUGUUCCUAUUUUAUAUGAGGAGAGCUUGGCAGGUUACUCCUUUGUGCGCAAAGCAAACUGUUUGUGGUGA
RNAcentral lists this ribosomal RNA (2499 nucleotides) under Triticum aestivum (bread wheat). RNAcentral describes it as "partial small subunit ribosomal RNA". The record is from RNAcentral. Lineage: Eukaryota; Viridiplantae; Streptophyta; Magnoliopsida; Poales; Poaceae.